This is a long non-coding RNA of Cyprinus carpio carpio, 1209 nucleotides long. The record is from Ensembl. Lineage: Eukaryota; Metazoa; Chordata; Actinopteri; Cypriniformes; Cyprinidae.
CUGGGCUUUUGUCCAUCAACACAAUGCGGCUUCCGUAUGUGAACUGAUUAAAAAAAAGUUUGAAUGAAUGUCAUUAAAAGGGCAAUUACUGGAUUAAAGGCAGAAUUCCGUGAAGUAAAAGAAGAACAAGUUAAAAGUGGCAGGAUGCAGUGUGGAAUGUGCACACCUUGGAUCAUGACAGAGAGAGAGAAGGAAGGAAGGGAGGGAAAGAGGAAGUGAAGCACAUCCGCCACAUACAUCUGGGCUGAGGGGGAUCCUCUUCCUUGGCUGCUGGUCUACAUAUGGAAAGGACCAGGAUGCUCACUGACGAAUCACAAUGCAGUUUUGGUCUAAUAAAAUUGGUAUGAUUCUGACUUUGCAGGUGGGACAUAUUGUUCAUCUUUCAUUUAAUCUAAAUGAUAAAUCAAUAGCUAGCAUGAAAUAACAAAUAACAAUAUGGUUAAUAUGGUUAAGGUUAAUUUCUUCAUAUACAUUGACAUUUCAAGUUAUAAAUUAAAGUGCCCCUAUUAUGCCAUUUUAAGGUUCCUAAUAUUGUUUUGGGAGUGUCCUCCAAUAGGUUUACAUGCACGCAAGGCCAAAAACUGCUCUCGUUUUCUCAAAAUAUGCAUUUAAUAUCACCUCGUUUUCCAAAGAUUCUCGAAAGAUUUGUUCGAAGCAGUUUUAAGAUUCAGUCUUUCUAAGCCCCUCCUUUCCAUGAGCCUGCUCUGCUCUGAUUGGUCAGAUGGCCCAGUCUGUUGUGAUUGGACUACAGCGCGUGUUGGAAACGAACUGUCCAUUGCCAUAGCUCCAUAUUUUGAAUGUUCGAUAAAAAAACAGAUAUAAUAGAUAUAAACAUCUAUUAUUUAUCAUACUUACAGGUUGUGAUUUUAGUGGCGCCAGCUGGUCCAAAUAAACUGGACACUGAUUCAUCUUUCAAGAGCAAGCGUUUUGUGAAUCCUGCAUUGAACUCCCUGAGAUUAGAGAAGCAGUUGUCAGUAAAAUGAUGGGAACACAAAAAAGAUUGGGGUUGUACUGUUGUGGUUCAGUGUAAAAAAUAUAUAUUUUAACCACUGAUUCUUUUGCAGCCUAAUGCAUUUUCACCUUUACAACUUUGCAGAUCAUUUACAUUCACAUACAGCUACAUUACACACUGCAUGAAAGGCAAUACUGGAAAUGGCAUAAUAGGGGCACUUUAACAAAUGAAUAGUAAAUGUAUUAUGAAUGAACAGG